GGCGCCGUGGCUUAGUUGGUUAAAGCGAUUGUCUAGUAAACAGAAAUUCACGAGUUCGAAUCUCGUCGGUGCCU
This is a non-coding RNA of Trichonephila clavipes, 74 nucleotides long. The record is from the annotation of a GenBank genome assembly. NCBI's taxonomy places the organism in Eukaryota, Metazoa, Arthropoda, Arachnida, Araneae, Nephilidae.